GCGCUGGAGCAGGUGGGCAAAAGGCGUGUGGCGCGGAGGGGUAGGUGUGCGGCGGCAGUGUCAGAGUUAGGUGGUGCUAGGGUUUUUUUUUUCUGAAAAUGUUUUUGGGCCUAUUUUGGGUAUUGGGUUUUGUAAUUGGGUUUGGGUAGUUUAGUUAGGGUUAAUUUUUAGUGUACUGGGCUUAUAGAUUGUUAAUUGAUUUUGGUUUGGUUUAUUUGGUAUGGGCCCGGGCAAAUUUGGGCUUCUACAGCUGCCCCUCUU
This 261-nucleotide long non-coding RNA is filed under the name Gossypium raimondii (Peruvian cotton). RNAcentral describes it as "long non-coding RNA (GRAI_LNC006682)". The record is from RNAcentral. Lineage: Eukaryota; Viridiplantae; Streptophyta; Magnoliopsida; Malvales; Malvaceae.